GUGCCUGCCCAGUGUCGAGAGAUAAAUGGCCGCAGUAUAUUGACUGUGCUAAGGUAGNAUAAAUAAUUGCCUCGUAAUUGGAGGAUUGUUUGAAAGGCUUGACUAGAUGAUGGUUUUAGAUGGGGGUUUGGUGAAAUUGAAUAAUUGGUGCAGAUUCCAAUAUUAUUUGUAAGACGGAAAGACCCCGAGAGCUUUACAAGUGUUUGUUUAUUUGGGGCAAAGGCUUAUAUUUUAUAAGUUUUUUGAUCCUUAAGGAUUAUAGGAGAAAGUUACCUCGGGGAUAACUAGGUGAGAAGCAAGGAGAGGUCUUAUCGAUUUGUUUGUUUGCCAUCUCGAUGUUGACUUGGGGUUAGCAGGAGGGUGCAGGAGUUCUUCUGUUUGGUCUGUUCGACCUUCGAACCCCUCAUGAGUUGAGUUAAGACCGGA
RNAcentral lists this ribosomal RNA (426 nucleotides) under Digenea fam. A sp. SB.CM.1. Its description in RNAcentral is "partial 16S ribosomal RNA". It matches the Rfam family "Bacterial large subunit ribosomal RNA", at positions 1854 to 2620 of the family's 2925-position model. Lineage: Eukaryota; Metazoa; Platyhelminthes; Trematoda. The record is from RNAcentral.